AUGAGGAAGAUGCUGGCUGCUGCUGUCUCUAGCGUGCUGUCUGUUGUCACCCAGAAGCCCGCUAACAGGGUGCUUGUGGCAUCCUGUAACUAUUCAUAUGAUGCUACAUUUGAGAUUAAGAAAUGUGAUCUUUAUCGGUUGGAAGAGGGUCCCCCUGUCACCGCAGUGCUCACCCGGGAGGAUGGACUCAAAUACUACAGGAUGAUGCAGAACAUUUGUCGAAUGGAAUUGAAGGCGGAUCAGUUGUAAAAACAGUGGUUUCUGUCACUUGUGUGAUGGUCAGGAAGCUUGUUGUGUGGGUCUUGAGGCUGGGCUAAAUCCCACGGAUCAUGUUGUUGCAUCCUGUCAGGCUCACGGCUCAUGUGUACUCGUGGACUUUCUUUCCCAUCAAUUCUAGCAGAGCUGACAGGUCGAAGAGGUGGCUGUGCUGAAGGAGAAGGAGGGUCAAUGCAUAUGUAUGCCAAUAACUUCUAUGGAGGCAAUGGCAUUGUCGGCGCUCAGGGACCGCUGUGAGCUGCUUAUAAUAUGGCAGCUGUGUGGAAUUUACCUUGUAUUUUCAUCUGCGAGAAUAACCACUAUGGAAUGGGAACAUCUGUUGAGAGAGCAGCAGCUCUAAAGGUAGAUGGAAUGGAGGUUCUAUGUGUUUGGGAGGCAACUAAGGUUGCAGCUGACUGUUGUAGAUCUGGAAAGGGGCCCAUACUGAUGGAGCUGCUGACAUACCAUUAUCAUGGACACAGUAUGAGUCACCCUGGAAUCAGUUAUCGUACACGAGAAGUUCAGAAUUUAAGAAGUAAGAGCAAUCCUAUCAUGCUUCUCAAAGAUAAAAUGGUAAACAACAAACUUGCCAGUAUUGAAGAAUUGAAGGAAACUGAUGUUGAAGUGAGGAAAGGAAUUGAUGCUGCUGCUCAGUUUGCUAUAACUGAUCCUGAACCACCUUUGGAAGAAUCUACAGCAAUAAUCCACCUUUUGAAAUUCGUGGUGCAAAUCAGUGGAUCAGGUUUAAGUCAGUCAGUUAA
Non-coding RNA from Lipotes vexillifer (Yangtze River dolphin), 1016 nucleotides. NCBI's taxonomy places the organism in Eukaryota, Metazoa, Chordata, Mammalia, Artiodactyla, Lipotidae. The record is from RefSeq and is a predicted model, not a curated record.